UUUUAUCUUAUUUUGGCAUUGAAGAAGAAUAAUCCAAGCCCAAAAGGGUUUUCUCACCACCACUUAUCUGUUAGUGGUGAGUGGAAGAAUUCUUUUCCAAUUGUAAUUCUUCAAAUAUCUCAAGUGGCCAUCAUCGGAUCUAAAGAGAGGCUCGUCGAAUCUAGAGUGAGGCUCGUCGGAUCUAAAGAGAGGAAGGUUGGCUGGGGCUGGAGAUGGGGAUGGGGAUGUGGCUGGUUGCGCGGCGAGGAAGGGGUGUGGCGGCCGAAGCUAUGAACACGCGGAGGAGGCAUGGGUGCCUUGAUAAAUUUUUGGCACAGUGAUGAGAUCAUUUUCCCUUCUGUUUGGUCGGAGAAGAAAGUUUAUGGAUGGUGGGCGAUGGCUAGGUGGUGGAGAGUGCUCCACUACACCUCAAACCCAAUCAGAAUCCAAUCUUGAUAGUAAGACCGCAACAUGAUCAUCUUCAAUUCUCCUGCCACAUCAAAUGAUCAGAAUCCAACCAAAAUGAAAAUGAUGAUGCGUAAUAGCACGAAAAUAAUGAAGAAGAUGAUUAUCUGGAUGAUGAUGUCAUGGAUCCUGAUGCUAAAUGGCCACUCAUAGAGUGUCAUGGCUCGAGGAUGAUGAUGAUAUGGCAAAUACACGUGAAAAUGAAAAAUGCAUACAACCGUAUCCAGUAUGAAAUUAAGAGCUUAGGUUUUCGA
Molecule: non-coding RNA, 698 nt
Organism: Prunus mume (Japanese apricot)
Lineage: Eukaryota; Viridiplantae; Streptophyta; Magnoliopsida; Rosales; Rosaceae
Source: RefSeq, a predicted model, not a curated record